AUGCUUCUCCUAAAGACUAAGCCAUGCAUGCCUCCGAAUAGAAGAGCUUUCUCUCUGAAUCUGCGAACGGCUCCGCAAACCAGUUGUAAACUAUAGCGAGCAUGCCCUCGGGUUGGCCGCAAGGCUCGCCCGGAGGUAAUAAGGAUAACCCUGGUAAUUCUGAGGCUAAAUACAAGAACGUAACACCUGGCUGACCGGCAACGGAAGGCUGGGGGACUGCGAUCAGUCGUAAAGUUUACUGGGAAUAGAUG
Molecule: ribosomal RNA, 251 nt
Filed under: uncultured eukaryote
Lineage: Eukaryota
Description: partial 18S ribosomal RNA
Rfam family: Eukaryotic small subunit ribosomal RNA
Source: RNAcentral